Non-coding RNA from Oryctolagus cuniculus (rabbit), 8138 nucleotides. The record is from RefSeq and is a predicted model, not a curated record. NCBI's taxonomy places the organism in Eukaryota, Metazoa, Chordata, Mammalia, Lagomorpha, Leporidae.
ACCCGUCAAACUCUCAGUAGCUCAGGGGUCCACGCCUGUCACAUUUCCACUGCAGCAUCAGCAGCACAACGCGGGACACAUUACAGGUCCGGGGCCAAUACUUUCUGCCCACCUGCAGGAUGGCAAAGGCCGGCUUAUGGGUCCUGAUGCUGGCUGGAGGGGCAAGCCAGGACCAAGGGUCAGUUGCUUCUGGAGCCCGCAGCCUGCGGCGGGCCCUCCGGCCACCGGGCGCGGUCUGCCGGGGCUACCGCGGGCCUUGGGCGGGGCAAGGGCCGGGGCGGGGCUGGGGCCGGAGGCAACAAGUCGUCACCGGGUACUCUGGGCUCCCGCCCGGUCCGCAGCCUCAGCCAACCUUCCCCGUUUCCGUAUCCCGGUCCCUGCCUGGGCGGUCGUCCAGUCCAUCCGGAACGACACCCAGACUUGGCGUGUUUUGCUCCUGGAAUAGUAGAAAAAUGGUUCAGCUCUGCAGCCUUCUCGGAUAUUGCCGUGCAAAUGUGCCCUUCAGCUUGCUCAGACUUCAGCUAAGGUUCUGAAGCUGUUUUCCCUCUGACUGCAUCACACGAGCCUAGAACUCCAAAUCUCCACACUGAGACUUCUUCUGUGCCAGUUUUUGCUUCAGCUCCCCAACCACUCACUCGGCAAGAAUAAUUUUCCACUGUCAAACUUAAUCUCCGCUGUGGCCUAAAAGGGGAUGAUAUGGAGUUUCCAGGGGGAAAGUAGUCAGCAGAAAGAGUGCCAGAACAAUGGGGAAGGAAAUAAGGAAGAGGAACUGGGAUUUUCAAGGCAGUUUUCAAAGAGGAGGAGGAUGGAGGAAGAAAUAAAAGAAGAAGACUGUACAGCAAGUGCCCCAUCCUGCCUCGUGUGUCUGCUUUAGGACCAUGUAGACCCGCAUGAGAAGGAGGAAGCCACCUUGUAAGCAGCCACCAUCCUGUUGUCUAGACAGCAAGGAAGAGAUGUGAUCUCAGGGAAGCUGCAGAGGCUGCAGGCUGCACUCGGAUAUCCUGUCAGAGGUGAGGCUUGUGUUUGCAUAAAUAGUAGGAUCCUCCAGCAGAAUCCACUGUAACGUAGUUUGCUGUAGAGCAGAACUCAGCAGUGAGUUCAUCCUUAACCCCUUCCUAGAGGAUAAGUCGCCUAGCAACAGGAAAAUCAACAUGGCUAAUGUGGUAUUGCUGUGUCAGUGUCAGGGUAACAACCUUUCAGUCUCAAAAAUAUUAAUGCCAGUCACGCCCCUGCCCACAUGCAUAUAAAUACCUUAUGACUAACAGCUCACAUUUGCAGGACAUUGUCCAGAAUCGGGAAAAUGUGUGGCCUUGUAAUGGAGAUGUUACCUUGAGUGAAACCCAUGUCCUUGACCCGAUUAGUCCAGGGUGAUGAAUCAGCUGAGCUAAGUGCCCAUGGCACUCACGGAACAACACCGAUUCAAGCAGAACCCAGCACUGCUAGACAUUGUUAGGUCACCUGGAGGGUUCUAUCCCCAUGAUGGAUUUUUAUACUGUAACUGACUAGUAAGUUAUGUGCUCUGGAAGUGUGGUUUCAAUCAAAUAUAUAUGAAUUAUUUUUUUGAAGUACUGUAGCAGUAAUGUCAUGAGUUGGGUACCUCAGGAAAUAGUUUCUGAAACUCAAUUUUGCAGAUCCAAGGUUUCUUGGUGAGAGCUCCUGGGAACAAGAGCUGUGAGGAAUAAGAGAAGUGGAAUCGGUCAGGGGAAGAAAUGGAGACAAUGGGUCCAGUUCUUCACCCUCACCCCCACCCCAUCUGCAGUUGUUGCCUGGCUUUGAGCCCCCCACAGCCCAUACUCCCAGCAGCAAGGAAACAAGUGUGUUGGGCCCACAGCGAGGCCUGGAUGGUGGUACUGCAGAUAGUCUGCUACAAUUGCUCGCUAGGACUUGGACUUCUGAUGAGUCUCCAAAUUUUGAUUGCAUUUUAUCUAUUGGACACCUCUGGAGGGAGACAGAGCUGGGUAGGGAUCAUUCUCCCCGGGGACUACUCCCCUGUGGGACUACACAGGGAAAUGGAAGUCCAGACAAUGUCAAGGACUUGCACAGGAGGGAUCUCUCAAUCGUUUGCAUUUUUUCUUACAUCUAGAGUUUAAGAACUGGAAAAAAUACUGGAAGCCAAAUAGUCCAGCCACCUCACUUUAAAAGUAAAAAACCUGGGGUCAGCACUGUGGUGUAGCUGCUAUGCAGUGCCAGCACCUGCUAUGGGCACCUGUUUGAGUCCUGGCUAUUCCACUUCCAAUCCAGGUCCCUCCUAAUGUGUCUGGGAAAGCAGCAGAAGAUGGCAUAAGUGCUGGGCCCCUGCUACCCACAUUGGAGACCCAGAAGAAGCUCAUGGCUUCUGGUUUCACCUUGACCCAAACCUGUAGGUCUCUCCCUCUCUCACUAUGCCUUUCAAAUCAACAAAUGUAUUUUGAUUUUUUAAGUGUUGAAUCUGUGGGGAUUUUUAAAAAAUAAGGAAUGAGGUUUGGAGAAAGGGGAUGUUAGGAUCUGUGGUAGAACCCAACUUUCUCCACCCAAAACAAGAUUUUUUUUAAUUAAAAAAUUACUUAUUUAUUUGAGUGAUACAGAGACAGAGAUCUUCCAUCUUCAAAUGCCCACAAGAGACAAGAGAGCCAGACUGAAGCCAGGAGAACUCUCCAUCCAGAUCCAUUCGGUAGCAGGGACCCAAAUAUUGAGCCAUCCUCAUCUGCUGCUUCCCAUAGCAGGAAGCUGGAGCUAGGAACCAGAUUCAGGAAUCGAACCCAGGCACUCUGUAUGGUAUAUGGGCAUCCCGAGUGGCAUCUUAACUGCUGUGCCAAGCAUCUGCCCCCCCCAAGCCAGUUUUCAUUACCUAGGAUGUGCUGGGCAUUGUGUGCCACACAGGAGCUAAAGACAUUAGAAGGUGACACAUCUUGCCUAGAGGAAUUUAUAAACUAGUAGAUUUUCUCAGUCUUUCUUUAAUGGCUUUUUUCUUUUCAGAAAAAUAUUGCCUUUUAAUUUAGAUUAAUAGCAUUAUUAUGCCUGUCAUCUUAUAGGAGGAAAAUUUUUUAUGGCCAUACAUCUAAAAUAAAAUAACAGAAUGAUGUGUAGUUAUGCUUCCUUAGAACUGCCUUUCAUUUAAAUAUUUGGCAGGUGAAUAGGCUCUGGAGUGAAAACAUCUUUUGUUAUUUUUUUAGAAAGCUUUUAUUUAAUAAAUAUAAAUUUCAUGGGAAUGGCUUUUGGUCUUUAAUAACAUCUUUAAAAAAGAUUUAUUUAUUUGAAAGGCACAAUUACACAGACAGAUCUUCCAGCCACUGGUCUACUCACCAAAUGGCCUCAAUGGCAGGGGCUGGGGCAUGCUGAAGUCAGGAGCUUAGAACUUCAUCCGGGUCUCCCAUUUGUGUGCAGCAGCCCAAUCACUUGGGACAUUUUCUACUGCUUCCUCAGGUGCAUUAGCAGAGAGCUGGAUUGGAAGUGGAGCAGCCAGGGCUCAAACCAGCAGCCUUAUAGGAUGCUGGAGUCACAGGCAGUGGCUUAACCUGCUGCACCAUAACAACCCUACUUUAAUAGUCUUGAUAAGGCAGGGAGAAUGAAACCUUUUAUUCUAGGCUUUCCUCUCUCAUAUCAUUUUGUGAAAUCUAAACCAGAAAAAAACAGUAGCAUAUAUGCUGAAGAGUGAAUAAGUUGUGUUCUACUGAGUUCUAAACUGCUCCUUAGCAGCUGCUUAUAAAGUUAAAUGCUCCCUGCCGGCUCCACGGCUCGCUAGGCUAAUCCUCCACCUUGCGGCGCCAGCACACCGGGUUCUAGUCCCAGUCGGGGCGCCGGAUUCUGUCCCGGUUGCCCCUCUUCCAGGCCAGCUCUCUGCUGUGGCCAGGGAGUGCAGUGGAGGAUGGCCCAAGUCCUUGGGCCCUGCACCCCAUUGGAGACCAGGAGAAGCACCUGGCUCCUGCCACCGGAUCAGCGUGGUGCACCGGCUGCGGCAGCCAUUGGAGGGUGAACCAACGGCAAAGAAAGACCUUUCUCUCUGUCUCUCUCUCUCACUGUCUACUCUGCCUGUCAAAAAAAAAAAAAAAAAAUGUUAAAUGCUCCCUGUGUAUACACUCAGAUGAUUCCCCUGGAUUCUCCCCAGACAAGAUUAAUUUCCAAGCCAGUGUCAUGGUAGGUAGGCAUGCCUUUAUUAAGAAAGUAAGUACUUCCUUUCUUUUCCCUCUCUUUAUUAAAAAUUUUUAGGGGCCAGCUUUGUGGCACUGUGGGUUGGGACACUGGCAUCCCAUAUGGGCUCUGGUUCGUGCGUGUUCCAGCUGCUCCACUUCCGAUCCAGCUCUCUGCUAUGGCCUGGGAAAGCAGUGGAAGAUGGCCCAAGUACUUGAGCCCCUGUCAUCCAUUUGGAAGACCUGGAAGAAGCUCCUGGCUCCUGGCUUCAGCGUGGCUCAGCCCUGGCUGCUGCAAACAUUUGAGGAGUGAACCAGUAGAGAGAAGAUCUCGAUCUCUCUCUCUCUCUCUCUCUCUCUCUCUCUCCCCUCUACUUUUCAAAGAAACAAAAAAAAUACAUCUUUUAGAAUUUAAAAAUUUAAUGAAUUUGAAAGGCAGAGCAAAAGAGAGAGGACAGGGAAAGACCUUCCAUCCGCUGGUUCACUCUCCAAAUGGCCGAAGCCAGGAGCCUGGAACUUCAUCGAGUCUCCCACAUGGGUAGUAGGGACCCAAGUACUUGAGCCAUUACCUACUACCUCCUAAGAUGUGCAUUAGGAGGAAGCUAGAGUAGGGAGCAGAUCCAAGACUGGAACCAGUCCAAUAUGGUAUGCAGGUAGUGUCUUAAACACUAGGGCAAACACCCACCCCACCUCCUUCUCUUUAAAUGACUUUAGAGUAUUUCUGCAAUCCUUUGUCCUGUUUCUAGGACACAAAGGUAAUAGCUUUCUGGGGUAAUGUGGGUGCGUUUUUGCUUUAUAAAGCUGCAGACCUGUCCUUGCAGCAAGCCCUCCCAGUCCUUAUGGUCCCAUGGCUAGGACCAAAGUGAUGCCAGCUUAGCCUGGAGUAAGCCAAGGGCAAAUGCCCGCAGAUCAUUCGGCUCCCACCACUAGAGUUUCAUAGUCAAAUGUUUUGGGCCCCCCCUGUUCUCAUUCUGCGGUUUUAAAACUUCUUUGUUGGUGAUGGUCAAUCUGUUUCUAGCCCCUUGUUUCCCUCUUCUCUCCAAGUGGUUGGUCCGUGGCCUCAGCUCUCAGUGACACCACAGGUGAAUGGAGGCAGACCUGACAGAAGUUCCCCUUGACUGCCCAUGGUUCUCACAGAGCUGCCCACAGGGACAGAAACUUACACACAUGCCUGGCCUGGGAAAGCAAGCCCCAAAGAUGCUUUGUUAAGAAACAAACAUAGGAGUGUGACCUGAACAGAAACCAGACUGCAGGCCAGAAAAUAACUUUAAUGCAAAGCGGAAAGGAUCAGUUCUUUUCCUUGCUCUUGCUCUCUCAACUCCACUUUCCUUUGACUCUGAGGAAGUAGAAGGAGCCGGCCAUGUUUCUAGAGUGGCUGUCCAUUUGGAAAAGUAUCUCCCCAGUGUGGAGGUGUGCUCGUGUCCUUUAGAUCUGAGCAGACUCAACACAAUCAGAUAACUUUAGUGUAGUCCAUCGCCUCUUCCAGUCCCAUCUUUUCACAGGCACAGGGCUGCUGCAUGAUCCUCGGGCUCAAGGGGACCCAAAAUCACUCUUAAAGAACCUGCAAAAAUAAAUACAUCAUGGGGAAGGGCACUGUGAUAAGACUCUAGGACACAGCAAAGAAUGAGACAUAGUUCCUGGACAAAUGAGCCCCCACACACCUGAAACCCAAAACAGAGGUGAGAUGCCAGGUGUUCGGAGCAGGUGAGAAACAUACGGCUGUAGGGUUUAAGGAGAAGAAAGUAAGCUGCUCAAAUAUAGAGGGCUGAAGAACACAUUCCUCCAGGGGCAGCAGUUAAACUAAGCCUUGCCAAGGAUGAAGCCGUGGGAAUAGGGAAGUGGCAAAGUGAUGGAAAAGGAGGAGGCCACAGCCUGGUCCCAAAAGUUCCGCCCCUUUGUUCUCUCUGAAGCCCUGGAGAAAGGAGACCCAGGAUUGGCGAGAGAGGGAAACAGAUGAGGUAGUACCAAACAGAUCAGACAUUAGAGCUUUUGGGAGCCAGUGUUGUGGUGCAGCAGGUUAAGUCACUGCCUGCAACAUCAGUAUCCCCUAUGGGCACCAGUUUUGUGCCCUCACUGCUCCAUAUCUGAUCCAGCUCUCUGCUAAUGUGCCUGGGGAAGCAGUGGAAGAUGGCCCAAGUGCUUGGGCUCCUGCUACCCACAGAGAGGACCAGGAUGGAGUUUCAGGCUCCUUACUUGGGCCUGGCACAGCCCUCACUGUUCUGGCCAUUUGGGGAGUGAACCAGCAGAUGUAAGAUUCUCUCUCUCUCUCUCUCUCUCUCUUUCUCUUUCUCUCUGUGUGUGUGUGUGUGUGUGUGUGUCUCCCUCUCUCUGUCUUUGCUUCUCUCUCUUUAACUCUGUCUUUCCAAUAAAAGAUAGGUCUUUAAAAAAAAAAAUGGGGAAUCUGGACUCAGGGGCGGAGCCCCUAGAGCUCGUGCCUAGGACAGCAGCAUGUGAAUCCUGAGGAGGCAAGAGGCAAACAGCCGUGGCUAAAGGCCUGGACUUGAGGCACAGUCCGGAUCCACCAUGGUUGAGGUCUAAGCACUCUGAGGUGGGAGGCACAGAGUUAUCAGAGUCUUCAUUCAUGUUGGGAGAGAUGAUCUAGGGCUUCAGAGCCAGCCAGCAACAGUCAGCAGUCCAGGGUCCUGGCCUCCAUGAGCUUGGAGGUCCCUAUGGGGUCCCUGAAUGUCAGGGUAGGGGGCCGCCCAGCUGAUAGACAAGGAAGCAAAAGGCUACAUCCUGAUUCAUCUUGGAUCAAGCCAGUGGAUGAGGGGUGUCCCAGACCAGGAUGCACAGCAAGGGACAAAAUGAGAGGUGGCUGGUCCCAUGCAGUUAGCUUGGACCAAAAAUUAUCUGUAAAAACUGUCUCUAGGGGGAAGAGAAUGGUGGGUACUUUCUGUAACCUGGACACACUCAAAUGAAGUUACAUUCAGAUAAAUGUAAAGAGAUACAGAAUCCAUGUUUGUAGAAAUCAAAGGGGGGCCACCAUUUGGCUUAACGGUUGAAACAUCCCUGUCCCACAUUAGUGUACCUGGAUUUGAUGGUCAGUUCUGCUCCUGACUCUAGUCUCCUAAUUCAGACCCUGGGCAGCAGUGGUGAUGGCUCUGUAAUUCUACCUCCCCCUCCCUGCCAUGUAGAAAACCUAGGUUGAGUUCUAGGCUCCUGGCUUCUGCCUGGUCUAGUCUCUGUCGUUGUGGGCAUUUGGGGAGUGAUCUAGUAGAUGGAAGUACUAUAAUCUCUGUCCCUCUGGUUCUCAAAUAAACAAACAAAAAUUUAAACAAUUUUUAAAAAUCAAAGGGAGAAAACACCACAGGGGAGUAUGCCUUGGUUGGGGUUAAGGAGCGAUCAGUUUUUUGUUUUUUGUUUUUUGUUUUUUUUUUUUUUUUACAGGCAGAGUGGACAGUGAGAGAGAGAGAGACAGAGAGAAAGGUCUUCCUGUGCCGUUGGUUCACCCUCCAAUGGCCGCCACGGCCGGCGCGCUGCAGCCGGCGCACCGCGCUGAUCCGAUGGCAGGAGCCAGGUGCUUCUCCUGGUCUCCCAUGCAGGUGCAGGGAACAAGGACCUGGGCCAUCCUCCACUGCCUUCCCGGGCCACAGCAGAGAGCUGGCCUGGAAGAGGAGCAACCGGGACAGAAUCCGGCGCUCCAACCGGGACUAGAACCUGGGGUGCCGGCGCCGCAGGUGGAGGAUUAGCCUAGUGAGCCAAGGCGAUCAGUUCUAUGAGGCAGUUAGCCCCCAGGCUAAGGAGGUCUGGGUGGGGAGUAGAGGCUUCAACUUUUCUUUUAAUUUUGUAGUUUUCAGCAUUUUUUAAAAGUUUAUUUAUUUUGGCUGGUGCCGCAGCUCAAUAGGCUAAUCCUCUGCCUAUAGCGCCAGCACACCAAGUUCUAGUCCCAGUUGGGGCGCCGGAUUCUGUCCUGGCUGCCCCUCUUCCAGGCCAGCUCUCUGCUGUGGCCCGGGAAGGCAGUGGAGGAUGGCCCAAGUGCUUGGGCCCUGCACCCCAAGGGAGACCAGGAUAAGUACCUGGCUCCUGCCAUCG